ACGAACGCUGGCGGCGUGCCUAAUACAUGCAAGUAGAACGCUGAAGAGAGGAGCUUGCUCUUCUUGGAUGAGUUGCGAACGGGUGAGUAACGCGUAGGUAACCUGCCUUGUAGCGGGGGAUAACUAUUGGAAACGAUAGCUAAUACCGCAUAACAAUGGAUGACACAUGUCAUUUAUUUGAAAGGGGCAAUUGCUCCACUACAAGAUGGACCUGCGUUGUAUUAGCUAGUAGGUGAGGUAAUGGCUCACCUAGGCGACGAUACAUAGCCGACCUGAGAGGGUGAUCGGCCACACUGGGACUGAGACACGGCCCAGACUCCUACGGGAGGCAGCAGUAGGGAAUCUUCGGCAAUGGGGGCAACCCUGACCGAGCAACGCCGCGUGAGUGAAGAAGGUUUUCGGGUCGUAAAGCUCUGUUGUAAGUCAAGAACGGGUGUGAGAGUGGAAAGUUCACACUGUGACGGUAGCUUACCAGAAAGGGACGGCUAACUACGUG
This 496-nucleotide ribosomal RNA is filed under the name uncultured Streptococcus sp. RNAcentral's name for it is "bacterial SSU rRNA". It matches the Rfam family "Bacterial small subunit ribosomal RNA", at positions 29 to 507 of the family's 1533-position model. Lineage: Bacteria; Bacillati; Bacillota; Bacilli; Lactobacillales; Streptococcaceae. The record is from RNAcentral.